Molecule: long non-coding RNA, 678 nt
Organism: Phyllostomus hastatus (greater spear-nosed bat)
Lineage: Eukaryota; Metazoa; Chordata; Mammalia; Chiroptera; Phyllostomidae
Exons: 7
Source: RefSeq, a predicted model, not a curated record
UUUUCUUUCUGAGAUACUGAGGAGAGAAAACGGGGCUUGACCUCCAAAAACUUCAUUUUGAAUCCUGCCUCUGUCUUGUAUACCUGUGGUUGGCUACAUACAUGUCACUAUGGAGGCAGAGACACUGAGGAUCCAGCAGCCCUGGGCAGUUGUGGCUUAGAGAGAGAGCUGAUGGUGGACCCACACAUGAAACAUUCUUUCACAUGGUGGAAAAUCAAGCCAGGUGUUUGGCAGCACCGGAGUGUUCAGGUGUAACUGUGCCAGUGAUGGAACAUUACGAGCAGCGUGGAUGAAGAAUGAGGCAUGGAGAAUCCUGGGACCGAGGUGCCUUGGGGCCCAUCCCUUCCGAGCGCCCCUGCUGAUGAGACAGAACCUGACAACGCUCACUUGGAUUCCUGCUGCAUUUGAACUGCGAGCAUGUGCGAUGCAAAACCACCACAGCAGGAUCUGGGUUAGAGACUCCAUUAAUGCUUGUGACUGCAGCUGCUUUAUGACUCUGGCAGAAAUAGGGACGUGAAUGAGGAAAUUACAGUCUAGUUGGGAAGAUCUGACAUUUAACCACAGCAAUGGAGAUGAAACAUCAGCCUCCUGCCCUUGGACUGGAACUACACCACUGGAUCGCCUGAGUUUCCAGCUUGCAGAUGGCAGAUGGUGGGAUGCUUCAGCGUCCAUAAUCAU